ACUGAACGCUGGCGACAUGCUUUACACAUGCAAGUCGAACGGUAACAGGUUAAGCUGACGAGUGGCGAACGGGUGAGUAAUGCAUCGGAACGUGCCCGAUCGUGGGGGAUAACGCAGCGAAAGCUGCGCUAAUACCGCAUACGAUCUAAGGAUGAAAGCGGGGGACCGUAAGGCCUCGCGCGAUCGGAGCGGCCGAUGUCAGAUUAGGUAGUUGGUGGGGUAAAGGCUCACCAAGCCAACGAUCUGUAGCUGGUCUGAGAGGACGACCAGCCACACUGGGACUGAGACACGGCCCAGACUCCUACGGGAGGCAGCAGUGGGGAAUUUUGGACAAUGGGCGAAAGCCUGAUCCAGCAAUGCCGCGUGCAGGAAGAAGGCCUUCGGGUUGUAAACUGCUUUUGUACGGAGCGAAAAGGUCUCCUCUAAUACAGGGGGCUCAUGACGGUACCGUAAGAAUAAGCACCGGCUAACUACGUGCCAGCCGCCGCCGUAA
This 493-nucleotide ribosomal RNA is filed under the name uncultured bacterium. Its description in RNAcentral is "partial 16S ribosomal RNA". It matches the Rfam family "Bacterial small subunit ribosomal RNA", at positions 30 to 523 of the family's 1533-position model. The record is from RNAcentral.